RNAcentral lists this long non-coding RNA (1659 nucleotides) under Salmo salar (Atlantic salmon). RNAcentral's name for it is "lncRNA (ENSSSAG00000097993.1)". Lineage: Eukaryota; Metazoa; Chordata; Actinopteri; Salmoniformes; Salmonidae. The record is from RNAcentral.
GGACAAGGGUGCAGGAGCAAGCAGAGUAACCCUCUAGACCUUUUUUAAAGGAAAGACAAGCCAACUGCUGGUCUACAUUUACUUAAUGAAGAACAAAAACACCUCUGUCCAGGUUGGCAACAGUGGCAGAUGUCUUUUCCACUAACGUACCCCGUGGACGAUAUGAUACAUGGCUGGCAUCGACUCCCCCAACCUGGGACGGUUGACCUUCGGGCCUUCCUGGACUCUGAGCAGCGGAGGAGAGAUCUGGAUGUCAGUCUGGCUCAGGUCCAAAAUGCCCUGCAGGAACAGAGGGUCAGAAUGCUCCAGAGAAUGGGCCCAGGGAGCCGACAUAAACUACCCCAGAUACUUGUUUUGAAUCUUGGGCAGAUCAAUCGACCAGUAAACCUCCAUCCUAGUCUGUUAUCAGAGAACAUCUACAUCCCACCAUAUGGUGACCUUUACACAAGAGUGGGCAGGCUAGAGAUUGACUCAGAGAUCAUUAGCGCCCAACUGGACCAGGUUCUCUGUUCUAGGGGAAGGUGUCUCUACAGGAAUGGACCCUCACCCCAACAGGACAGCUUGACUCCUUGUCAGAGGGAGGACCAUAGUAUGACCUCUCAGCUUAUUGCUCAAGCAGUGGACAAAGGACAACUUCUGAAAGAGCGAGACAACCUUGAGCGUCUGCUGGAGGAAUCCAGGGCCCAGCAGCAGCUGAUGGAGCAGAAGAGGGAGGCCCAGAUAGCAGCCCUUCACUCCCAGCUGUACCAGGCACGCUCCAGCCUCCAGGAGACCCACAGAGAGACACUGGCCACACAGGCAGAGCUACAUGGCAGCAAGCAGAUAAAUGAGUCCCUGCUACAGGAGGUGGCGUCUCUCAGACGGAGGCCCGGGGCUGCGGAGGAGCGGGCCUCCCUGAUGGAGAGUGACGGACGCCUGCUCAGGGCUCGCAUAGCAGCACUGGAGACUGAGCGGGAGGAGCUGCUUCAACAAGGAGACCUCGCCACAGGGAGACGACGCUCCUCAGCCUUUGGGAGCGCUUGGGAAACGGAUGUGGAAGAUUCCGAAAAGUCGGAGGGGUUGAGGGAGGAGAGUACCGCAUAUGAGAUGGGGGAAGUGGAGGAGGAGGAGAGGGUACAAGGGAAGGAUUUGUCUGUGGACUUAAGACUUAAGAUCCAUGAGGUGCCGCUCUCUAAGCCUGGCCUACAGAUAAAGGAAGAGAACCAGGACGGAGAGAAGGGGCUGGGAUUGGUCGAUCGCUGGAAUCCAUGGCAGCACGAGCCAAUAGAAGCCAAUCAAAUGACGGCGCUGGUCAUAGAGCUGCAGCAGCUGAGAACGGCCUGUGAAGAGACAUCAUCAACACUACCGGUCUCCCCCAAGGACCAGAGGGCCAGAGAGUGGAUGUGAAAGAGCUGCUCUGCUCGAGGACUGUGUGGGGGAGAUGGAUUGGGAGGGGCUGGCUUUCCUGGAGAGAGACUGUGGAGUUCUUCGGGUGGUACCUCCAGGAUCAUUGGCAAGAAGUAACCCACCACAUUCACACUGAUCCUUGACUAUGGAAUUUGGUCAGUACGUCACAACCCCCAGACCACGUAUAACCACACCAGCCAGGCCCUCCACAUCCGCCUUCUUCACCUGCAGGAUUGUCUGAGACCAGCCACUUGAACAGCUGAUGAAACUCAG